AGAAUCAACGCUGGCGGCGUGCCUAACACAUGCAAGUCGAACGAGAAAGUGGUAGCAAUACCAUGAGUAAAGUGGCGCACGGGUGAGUAACACGUGACUAACCUACCCUGGAGUGGGGGAUAACUGAGGGAAACCUUAGCUAAUACCGCAUAACACCUACGGGUCAAAGGAGCAAUUCGCUUCAGGAGGGGGUCGCGGCAGAUUAGCUAGUUGGCGGGGUAAUGGCCCACCAAGGCAGUGAUCUGUAUCCGGCCUGAGAGGGCGCACGGACACACUGGAACUGAAACACGGUCCAGACUCCUACGGGAGGCAGCAGUGGGGAAUUUUGCGCAAUGGGGGAAACCCUGACGCAGCAACGCCGCGUGGAGGAUGAAGUCCUUCGGGACGUAAACUCCUUUCGAUCGGGACGAUAAUGACGGUACCGAGAGAAGAAGCCCCGGCUAACUUCGCGCCAGCAGCCGC
RNAcentral lists this ribosomal RNA (462 nucleotides) under uncultured bacterium. Its description in RNAcentral is "SSU rRNA". It matches the Rfam family "Bacterial small subunit ribosomal RNA", at positions 26 to 518 of the family's 1533-position model. The record is from RNAcentral.